AGGAUGAACGCUGGCGGUCUGCUUAACACAUGCAAGUCGAACGGAGUAGCAAUACUUAGUGGCGGACGGGUGAGUAACGCGUGAGAAUCUACCUUCAGGACGGAGACAACAGUUGGAAACGACUGCUAACCCCCGAUGUACUGAAAAGGCAAAUAUUUAUAGCCUGAAGAAGAGCUCGCGUCCGAUUAGCUAGUUGGAGAGGUAAAAGCUCACCAAGGCGACGAUCGGUAGCUGGUCUGAGAGGACGAUCAGCCACACUGGGACUGAGACACGGCCCAGACUCCUACGGGAGGCAGCAGUGGGGAAUUUUCGUCAAUGGGGGGCAACCCUGAACGAGCAACGCCGCGUGCAGGAGAAGGUUUUCGGAUCGUAAACUGCUUUUCUCGGGGAAGAGAACGGACGGUACCCGAGGAAUCAGCCCCGGCUAACGUACGCGCCAGCAGCCGC
RNAcentral lists this ribosomal RNA (447 nucleotides) under uncultured bacterium. RNAcentral describes it as "SSU rRNA". It matches the Rfam family "Bacterial small subunit ribosomal RNA", at positions 26 to 518 of the family's 1533-position model. The record is from RNAcentral.